This 1092-nucleotide ribosomal RNA is filed under the name Triticum aestivum (bread wheat). Its description in RNAcentral is "partial small subunit ribosomal RNA". Lineage: Eukaryota; Viridiplantae; Streptophyta; Magnoliopsida; Poales; Poaceae. The record is from RNAcentral.
AUGGUUACCGGCAACGGCGAAAACAGCUACGCCGCAAACUCCAGGCUCCAGGAGAAGGCCAUUUUGGAGACAAGUCCGGUGCUUCACAAGGCCAUAGAAGAGCUGUGCAAGUCGCUCUCAGCCCGACGGAGCACCAUGGUCGUCGCUGACCUCGGCUGCUCGUCGGGCCCGAACACUCUGCGUGUCGUCUGCGAGGUGAUCGGCGCGGUCCAGUUCUACACUCGGAAAUCGGAAGAAGAACGGCGCGCCGUGGAGGUGCAGUUCUUCUUGAAUGACCUGCCGGGGAAUGAUUUCAACAUCGUCUUCCGGUCACUGGAGCAACUGGAAGAUCUCGGCGGCAGAGAGACGCAGCCCUACUAUGUGGCGGGCCUGCCGGGAUCCUACUACAGGAAGCUUUUCCCUUCUCGGAGCGUCCAUUUCUUCCACUCGUCCUACUCCCUCAUGUGGCGCUCUAAGGUCCCCGAGGAACUCUCAAGGUGCACUCACGUGAACGAAGGCAACAUCUACAUUGGAAAGACUACCCCACCUAUUGUGAUUAAGCUGUUCCAACAACAAUUCAAAACAGACUUUGAGUUGUUCCUUGCACUGCGCUCUAGAGAGCUUGUCAACGGAGGCCGAAUGUUGCUAACAUUUCUUGGAAGAAAGAGUGAAGAGAUGAUGAUGCACGGGGAUGUUAGCACCUUAUUUGAAUUGGUUGCCAAAUCUCUCCAGUCUCUGGUCCUAAAGGGUCGUGUGGAGAAGGAGAAGCUGGACUCAUUCAACCUGCCAUACUACGCUCCAUCGGUGAAAGAGAUGAAGGCGUUGAUCAAUGAGAGUAAGCUCUUUGAUAUCGAGCAUGUUAGACUCUUCGAAUCGAACUGGGAUCCUCAAGACGACUCAGAAAGUGAUGUGGUACUAGACUGUGCUAGCAGCGGGGCAAAUGUGGCCAAGUGCAUAAGGGCCGUGUUGGAGCCACUGAUAGCAGACCACUUUGGAGAUGACAUUAUUGAGGAGCUAUUCGUGGUGUAUGCUUCUGUCGUUGCAACGCAUCUGGAGAAAGCGAAGGCAAAGUACCCCAUCAUCGUGGCAUCCUUGAAGAAGGCCAUGCAUUGA